This 360-nucleotide ribosomal RNA is filed under the name Triticum aestivum (bread wheat). RNAcentral describes it as "partial small subunit ribosomal RNA". Lineage: Eukaryota; Viridiplantae; Streptophyta; Magnoliopsida; Poales; Poaceae. The record is from RNAcentral.
AUGCCUCGUCUUCCCUUAAGUGCGAGGCGUGGAAGGAGAAAUGCAAUAUUUUUUAAUCUGACCACUUCCAUUAUGCUUGUAUACUAUUAUGUGUGGUUCAUGUUUGCAUUAGCUUAUAGGAGAAAAUGUUGGCAAAUAGAAAGGAGAAUUUUAAUUAGAGAGUUAAGGGGAGAGAACUUGUAUCGACUAAUUGGUGAGAGCGACGCCAUGUGUAUAAGUCAACUUCGUAUGGAUAGGAGAACAUUUCAUAUAUUAUGUGAGAUGGUGAGAGAUGUUGGUGGACUAAAGGGUACAAGGAAAACAUCAUUAGAGGAGAUAGCGGGCAUGUAUAAUAGACAUAGGGCUGCUAGGGCGCAUUGA